GGAUAACACCUGGAAACAGAUGCUAAUACCGGAUAACAACAGAUGAUGCCUAUCAACUGUUUAAAAGAUGGUUCUGCUAUCACUCUUGGAUGGACCUGCGGUGCAUUAGCUAGUUGGUAGGGUAACGGCCUACCAAGGCGAUGAUGCAUAGCCGAGUUGAGAGACUGAUCGGCCACAUUGGGACUGAGACACGGCCCAAACUCCUACGGGAGGCAGCAG
Molecule: ribosomal RNA, 219 nt
Filed under: uncultured Lactobacillus sp.
Lineage: Bacteria; Bacillati; Bacillota; Bacilli; Lactobacillales; Lactobacillaceae
Description: partial 16S ribosomal RNA
Rfam family: Bacterial small subunit ribosomal RNA
Source: RNAcentral